RNAcentral lists this ribosomal RNA (212 nucleotides) under uncultured archaeon. Its description in RNAcentral is "partial 16S ribosomal RNA". It matches the Rfam family "Archaeal small subunit ribosomal RNA", at positions 462 to 673 of the family's 1478-position model. The record is from RNAcentral.
UAGCCACGGUAACACCAGCUCCCCGAGUGGUCGGGACGAUUAUUGGGCCUAAAGCGUCCGUAGCCGGUCCAGUAAGUCCUCUGUUAAAAUCCAGCGAUCUAAAUCGCUGGACUGCAGAGGAUACUGCUGGACUAGGGGCGGAAGAGGCUGGCGGUAUUCCCGAGGGAGGGGCGAAAUCCCGAGAGCUCGGGAGGACCACCAGUGGCGAAGGC